RNAcentral lists this ribosomal RNA (231 nucleotides) under uncultured bacterium. Its description in RNAcentral is "partial 16S ribosomal RNA". It matches the Rfam family "Bacterial small subunit ribosomal RNA", at positions 115 to 334 of the family's 1533-position model. The record is from RNAcentral.
CGGUAGGUAACCGUAGCCUCGGUAGCGGGGGGAGGUAACUAUUGGAAACGGAAGCUAAUACCGCAUAAGAGUAGAUGUUGCAUGACAUUUGCUUAAAAGGUAGCAAUUGCAUCACUACCAGAUGGACCUGCGUUGUAUUAGCUAGUUGGUGGGGUAACGGCUCACCAAGGCGACGAUACAUAGCCGACCUGAGAGGGUGAUCGGCCACACUGGGACUGAGACACGGCCCAG